GAGCAAGAGCAGGGACUUCUUCUCUCGUGUCAGAUUUCCGUUUUCGAUUUCCCCGGGGACAAGUUUUGAAUGGAAGAAUGGACGAGUCGCAUUGCUGCUGACAUGUCCGAUGACAAAUCUUCUCUGAUUAUGCA
Molecule: non-coding RNA, 134 nt
Organism: Caenorhabditis elegans
Lineage: Eukaryota; Metazoa; Nematoda; Chromadorea; Rhabditida; Rhabditidae
Source: Ensembl